Pungitius pungitius (ninespine stickleback) is the source of this 2068-nucleotide long non-coding RNA. RefSeq lists it as uncharacterized. The transcript has 3 exons. NCBI's taxonomy places the organism in Eukaryota, Metazoa, Chordata, Actinopteri, Perciformes, Gasterosteidae. The record is from RefSeq and is a predicted model, not a curated record.
UAACAGCUAAAGCUCGUUCAGCACACGGUCAAAUGCAGCGAACACACCUCUGCUGUCUCCCACUGGAACACCUCGCCCAUCAGCAUCUACCGAAGACAACUUUCAGUCCCCAUUGUGCUGUACGGCCCACUCAAGUUCACCUGAUGAGUGCCAUUGCUUGGUGGAAUACAAACCUGAUCUCAGACGCCGUGUUUGCCGCCAAAGGACGGAACUACAGAAGCGCCUCAACACCUGCUGCUUCUAUUCGGAGAGACUGUGGACGACAACGUCCGGGGCCCUGCCAAUGUCCCUUCUGACGAGCUGCUGGGGUUGGAUACCCGUUCAGAUGGAGCACGGGUAAGGAGGAGGUUCAGCAUGGGCAGCCAUGAUCCAGAUCCAGAGGCGUACCAGAGCGACGAGGAGGCUCACUCCCAGCGUUCACCCUCUGGUCUCUCCCAAAACCUGCUUCAGGGCUUCCAAAGACUGGAAAAGUUUUGCUGUGCUAUAAAUCCCCCCGACAGAGGACAAGCUGACUCUUUCCGCUGAGCAGAGGAACACGGUCCUUGAAGUGAAGUGGAGGAGCAUGAGAAGCAGUUCAACCAGCUGUACAGAGCUCACUGGAGCAUCUGCCUCCACUGCAGCACAAAUAGAGAACAUCUGGUUGAUGUUGUUGUGAUCCAGAGGCUACCGAUGGAUAAGUGCAAAGUCCAGCUCAACAAGACGUCAGUGCUCAGCUCUACAGGCUCAUCUACACGCUGGUUAAACUGUUGUUUGAACAACAGCUGUUUACACUGUGCAUAUAUCCUGUAAAAAAGGUGCAGCUGUAUUGCAUCGUAAAUAAACUGUGACACUUGACAAACAGAGUUGUGAAUAAGCAAAGCACUUACUGAUCAUAGCUAUGCCCCGACCCAUUUUGCUGGCAACACCGUCAAUAUGUUCAGACAAACAGCUACACCCAUGUUUGGUAUUAAAUAGUGUAGAAAUUGUAAUUGGUAGACAUUAGGUUGGCAAUUCCUACCUUUUUUCCUCAUUUAUUGUAUUUAAAUGCAGUAAAGACUAAAAGUCUAUUUCUAAUUUGCAAAUUAAAUCAGCCAUUCAAUAUUGUACAGUGUAUUGAUAAGAUAGGCCUUUACUAUAAUGUUUACAGUCACCACACAGUGUUUCCCCUGGAGGCGAACUGACUGUCGGAGGGGGGCGGGUCAAUCAGAGAGUAAGUGCAUCAUUAAAACACGAAACCAAAUCCUUUUCUCUGUUUCUUUAACUGCAAUCAAACCGGAAGAACUUCUGCACUUUCUGAUAUAGCAACAUUCAAAAAAGGUAAUAAAUAAAUUCACUGUAGAACAGGGGUAUUCAACUAAAAUGUAAAUAGGUCCAGUUAGAGAACAUUUCUAGAAGCAAAGGUCCAGAAGAUCAUCAUGUGACUGCUUAGUGUGAUUAAAUAGAGGAAAAGAGUUGGAUCAACAUCUGCAUGUAAUCAAUACACGACUAACAAAUCGAAUGAAUUCAGCAUGAUUCAAAGACUUUAAAUAUUUAUUGUCACGUAACAAAGAACUAAACAUAUAUGUGUGACUGCAAAUAUAAAUAAUGUUUUCUCAAUUAACUAAAUGAAAGUAGGGGGUCUAUUUAAAAAAAUACAAUUUCUCCAUGUUUAAAUAAAGUGAUUCAAUAAGAAGAAAUAAAAUAACGGGAAGUAAAGCUUGAUUUUGAAGCUUUUCUGCUUCACAUUUAGACUCGACAGUCUCAGGAAAUUAUCUAUAAUAAAUCCAAACACAUUAAAAAAAUGUAACAGUCCACCACUUUUUGGGCAAGAAAGAUAAUUGAGCUCUAGUUUGUCCUGCCAGGAUUUUAACUCUGGGCAUGAAUGCAUCAGGGCCAUUCUCCACCUCACAUGGAGGAGCUCAUUGUGUCUCACUCGUCUUUUUCUCAAAUUUUGCAAUCUUUCUUUUUCUUCCUACCGUUUUUUUUAUUUGUACUUGGCCGCUACCUCUCUCCUAUGUCUGCAGUAUUGAGACAAUAUUAUCUAUGAAGGUAGAUUUGUGUCUUUAUUAUGCAAACCAAAAAAAAUGUUUCGAGGGCAAACUUCUUGCAU